UGAGGAAUAUUGGUCAAUGGGCGGAAGCCUGAACCAGCCAUCCCGCGUGAAGGAAGACGGCCCUAUGGGUUGUAAACUUCUUUUCUGUUAGAAGAAUAAGCCCUACGCGUAGGGUGAUGACAGUAUAGCAGGAAUAAGGAUCGGCUAACUCCGUGCCAGCAGCCGCGGUAAUACGGAGGAUCCAAGCGUUAUCCGGAUUUAUUGGGUUUAAAGGGUGCGUAGGCGGACUUGUAAGUCAGUGGUGAAAUCCUGCAGCUUAACUGUAGAACUGCCAUUGAUACUGUGAGUCUUGAGUGUAGUGGAGGUAGGCGGAAUGAGUAGUGUAGCGGUGAAAUGCUUAGAUAUUACUCAGAACACCGAUUGCGAAGGCAGCUUACUAAGCUAUAACUGACGCUGAUGCACGAAAGCGUGGGGAUCGAACA
This 422-nucleotide ribosomal RNA is filed under the name uncultured prokaryote. RNAcentral describes it as "bacterial SSU rRNA". It matches the Rfam family "Bacterial small subunit ribosomal RNA", at positions 355 to 774 of the family's 1533-position model. The record is from RNAcentral.